Molecule: ribosomal RNA, 756 nt
Filed under: Salmonella enterica subsp. enterica serovar Anatum
Lineage: Bacteria; Pseudomonadati; Pseudomonadota; Gammaproteobacteria; Enterobacterales; Enterobacteriaceae
Description: partial 23S ribosomal RNA
Rfam family: Bacterial large subunit ribosomal RNA
Source: RNAcentral
GGGUUGUGAGGUUAAGCGACUAAGCGUACACGGUGGAUGCCCUGGCAGUCAGAGGCGAUGAAGGGCGUGCUAAUCUGCGAUAAGCGCCGGUAAGGUGAUAUGAACCGUUAUAACCGGCGAUACCCGAAUGGGGAAACCCAGUGUGAUUCGUCACACUAUCAUUAACUGAAUCCAUAGGUUAAUGAGGCGAACCGGGGGAACUGAAACAUCUAAGUACCCCGAGGAAAAGAAAUCAACCGAGAUUCCCCCAGUAGCGGCGAGCGAACGGGGAGGAGCCCAGAGCCUGAAUCAGCAUGUGUGUUAGUGGAAGCGUCUGGAAAGGCGCGCGAUACAGGGUGACAGCCCCGUACACAAAAGCGCAUGUGCUGUGAGCUCGAUGAGUAGGGCGGGACACGUGGUAUCCUGUCUGAAUAUGGGGGGACCAUCCUCCAAGGCUAAAUACUCCUGACUGACCGAUAGUGAACCAGUACCGUGAGGGAAAGGCGAAAAGAACCCCGGCGAGGGGAGUGAAAAAGAACCUGAAACCGUGUACGUACAAGCAGUGGGAGCACAGGUUUACCUGUGUGACUGCGUACCUUUUGUAUAAUGGGUCAGCGACUUAUAUUCUGUAGCAAGGUUAACCGAAUAGGGGAGCCGGAGGGAAACCGAGUCUUAAUUGGGCGUUAAGUUGCAGGGUAUAGACCCGAAACCCGGUGAUCUAGCCAUGGGCAGGUUGAAGGUUGGGUAACACUAACUGGAGGACCGAACCGACUAAUG